CUACGACACAGUGUACUUCCAUUGUGAGCUGCUGGCCUGUCACCAUAACUAUCCUGAUUCCAGGUGCAGUAAAGGCUGUAUAAAGAACAAGAGAAAGAGGAGAGAAGUGACACGAGAUGGAGGAAACCAAGAAGAGAGUACAAACAAAAUCAUUCUUACAGGUGGACCUGUAGUGUUCGAGGCGGCAAAAAAAGGCGAACCACUCGAUCACAAGUUAAGUCAAAGUAAACAUACAGCUC
Molecule: long non-coding RNA, 239 nt
Organism: Pocillopora damicornis (cauliflower coral)
Lineage: Eukaryota; Metazoa; Cnidaria; Anthozoa; Scleractinia; Pocilloporidae
Source: RefSeq, a predicted model, not a curated record